UUGAACGCUGGCGGCAUGCUUUACACAUGCAAGUCGAACGGUAACAGGGUGCUUGCACCGCUGACGAGUGGCGAACGGGUGAGUAAUACAUCGGAAUGUACCCAGUCAUGGGGGAUAACGCUUCGAAAGGAGUGCUAAUACCGCAUACGCCCUGAGGGGGAAAGUGGGGGACCGCAAGGCCUCACGUGAUUGGAGCAGCCGAUGGCUGAUUAGCUAGUUGGUAGGGUAAAGGCCUACCAAGGCAACGAUCAGUAGCGGGUCUUAGAGGACGAUCCGCCACACUGGAACUGAGACACGGUCCAGACUCCUACGGGAGGCAGCAGUGGGGAAUCUUGGACAAUGGGCGAAAGCCUGAUCCAGCAAUGCCGCGUGCGUGAAGAAGGCCUUCGGGUUGUAAAGCGCUUUUGUCGGGGAGGAAAUCCUAGUGGUUAAUAACUACUGGGGAUGACAGUACCCGAAGAAUAAGGACCGGCUAACUACGU
This 482-nucleotide ribosomal RNA is filed under the name uncultured bacterium. Its description in RNAcentral is "bacterial SSU rRNA". It matches the Rfam family "Bacterial small subunit ribosomal RNA", at positions 30 to 506 of the family's 1533-position model. The record is from RNAcentral.